CAGCAGCCACGGUAAUACGUAGGGUGCGAGGGUUAAUCGGAAUUACUGGGCGUAAAGCGUGCGCAGGCGGUUGUGUAAGACAGGUGUGAAAUCCCCGGGCUUAACCUGGGAACUGCGCUUGUGACUGCACAGCUAGAGUAUGGCAGAGGGGGGUGGAAUUCCACGUGUAGCGGUGAAAUGCGUAGAGAUGUGGAGGAACACCGAUGGCGAAGGCAGCCCCCUGGGCCAAUACUGACGCUCAUGCACGAAAGCGUGGGGAGCAAACAGGAUUAGAUACCCCCGUAGUCCCUGUCUCUUAUAA
RNAcentral lists this ribosomal RNA (301 nucleotides) under uncultured bacterium. Its description in RNAcentral is "partial 16S ribosomal RNA". It matches the Rfam family "Bacterial small subunit ribosomal RNA", at positions 509 to 809 of the family's 1533-position model. The record is from RNAcentral.